Molecule: long non-coding RNA, 263 nt
Filed under: Hordeum vulgare
Lineage: Eukaryota; Viridiplantae; Streptophyta; Magnoliopsida; Poales; Poaceae
Description: long non-coding RNA (HVUL_LNC001848)
Source: RNAcentral
AUGAAAUUCAAGUCCGAUGAAUUUGAUAUCAUAUUCUUCACUCUGAAGCAUAUGAGAUGGUAAGCAGUACUAAUUCAUCUGCAGGAUGACAACGCCAAAACCACUGAGUGGGUUCUUGAAAGUUGAUGUACAAAUCACAUGACUCGUGACAAGAGUUUAUUGAUGAACAUCCCACUAACUCCAUCACCGCUGAAGCAUAUCACCUACGCAUACAAAGUAAAAAAAGCAAGGUAUUAGGCCUUGGUAAGGUGGUUAUAUCCGAG